This 546-nucleotide unclassified non-coding RNA is filed under the name Hevea brasiliensis (rubber tree). The record is from RNAcentral. Lineage: Eukaryota; Viridiplantae; Streptophyta; Magnoliopsida; Malpighiales; Euphorbiaceae.
AGAAUAUGAAGUUGAGAUUAUUCAGCCUUAUGGACUUAAAUUUACUAAAGGUAGAGAUGGAGGAACUUACAUUGAUGCUAUUGCUCCUGGUGGUUUUGCUGAUAAGACUGGAAAAUUUGCUGUUGGAGAUAAAGUCAUUGCCACCAGUGCAGUGUUUGGAGAGGAAAUAUGGCCUGCUGCUGAAUAUGGAAGAACAAUGUAUACUAUCAGACAGAGAAUUGGACCUUUGCUCAUGAAGAUGCAAAAGAGAUAUGGUAAGGUGGAAGAAGUAGGUGAAUUGACAGAAAAGGAAAUUAUCAGAGCUGAGAGGAAUGCUGGUUUCAUUAGUGACAGAGUUAGAGAAAUUCAAGUAACGAAUGCUCGGAGGAAGAAAGAACAAAAGGAGCAAAGAGAAAGAGAACUUCGCGAAGGACUAAAACUUUCUAAGAAUGGCAAAUACGAAGAAGCACUCGAAAAGUUUGAAUCUGUGUUAGGAUCAAGACCAACUGGAGAUGAACUUGCUGUAGCAAGUUACAAUGUUGCAUGUUGUUAUUCCAAGCUUAAUCA